This is a long non-coding RNA of Cydia amplana, 151 nucleotides long. RefSeq lists it as uncharacterized. The record is from RefSeq and is a predicted model, not a curated record. Lineage: Eukaryota; Metazoa; Arthropoda; Insecta; Lepidoptera; Tortricidae. The transcript has 2 exons.
UGCCAAAGAUACAUUGAUAGAGUAAGAUGCGUAAAAUCUAAGACAAUUUCGUGCUUCGAAUUCGACAGGUAAACGAGAUGGCGCUGUACAGCUCCAUACAUUUUGCGGUAACUCUGAUUGUCAAAAGUUGACGUUUGACAAUUAAGUGACC